UUAACCAUUCUAGUAAUUCUUAACUUUGACUGCACCUAGAAUACCAAAAGAUUUCAAAACCACACCUGAGUGUGUUUGCGCCUGUGUGCACCAUCAUGAGACUCUACUUAAUUGGUCUAGGUUAAGACGUGAGCCUCAGGAUCCUGUUAGGCAACCAAGUUGAGAAUCUCUGGCAUCUCCAGCUGGAGCCCGGCUUACCCCUGAGGACUGUGAAAUCAACAGAAUUGAAAUAUAGUUUGCUGAUGAUAUUUUGAGAAGUUCAACAACCUGGAUGUCCUACCAAGAUCCUGUUGAUAGUUCUGUGGCUCCUGAAGCCCAGGACCCUUAAUUCAGAAACAGGGAAAACAACUGAGGCCUUCGGUGAUGGGUUCUUCCUUGCUAUGACUCACAUACCGGAGAACAUGCAUGCAUGUUUUGUCCAAAACAAC
Long non-coding RNA from Bos indicus x Bos taurus (hybrid cattle), 428 nucleotides. The record is from Ensembl. Lineage: Eukaryota; Metazoa; Chordata; Mammalia; Artiodactyla; Bovidae.